UCGAUGUUUCUAACUCUCUAUCUCUCUCCCUUCCUCUCUGUAAAAAAUCAAUAAAAUAUAUUAAAAAAAUAACUUUCUGGUUAGGUUGUCUCGAUUAGAAUGAGGCAGACAACCCAAGUGACUGCUGGCGUCCUUCGCUCGGAGGCCCGCGGUCCUGGGAACAAAGCCUGGAUGGGGGAGUCCGAUCCGGGAUCCAUCCUUACACUAGAGUUCCUACUGGCUCUGCAUCUUCGAGCUGAUUGACUUCCCCAGAUGAAAUUCGUGUGUGUGUGUGUGUGUGUGUGUGUGUGUGUGUGUGUGUGUGUUCGGUGAGAAGUCAACGAGUUAAAGCCCCAGGUGGGUGCACAGGGAGGAGCUGGAUCAAAGUUAGCAUCUCCUCGUCAAGCCUACGUUUCUCUCGCUUCUUGUAGAAACCUCGACUUCUUCUGUGGACCGGCUUCCCCUCGUACCCCCAAAUCUGGGCACGUGGCUAUUUUUUUUUCUAUUUAUUUUAAACAUGAAAAGACAUACAUGUCCAAUGACAUGUAAUGACACACUCAAUGAAUAGCCUUGGUGGAGAAUCAUAUUCACACGCAGCCAGGGCUGCGCUGGGAAGCCGAGGCGUCGGUGUCCCCCCUCCUCCCGCACACACCCCUGCUCUGGCGUCUAAACGCUCCGGGGUGGAGUUUAAAGGCAGCUUCGGCGUCCAGCCCAGCCGGUGCGCACGUCCCACCUGCCCGCCAGCCCGGCCGCGCACACCUGAGGGCGGGCGGGGCCCAGAGCUGAGCGCUGCCACUGGCUGCGGGCAGUUUGGGGGGAAUUCGCCAAGCGGGGCAGGCGAGUGCGUGCAUUUCUGGAAGCGGACACCCCGACGGGGCCUCGGGUUACGGGGGAUGGUCAUCUCCUUCGGAACCAGGAGGAGACACUGUGCUGCCCUUACCUGGGCGGGAAGCCUCGGACCAAACCAUUCCUCCCGGCGCGUUCCGAUGGCAGCGAGAGAGAGGGUACCAACUCCAAAUGUUUACCCAGGUUCACUUACUGGGCGGCCGCGUGUGUCGGUCGUCAUUUAUUCUAUUGAGUGCAUUGGCAGUCACGGAGCUCUGUGCUUACACAGGGGGCUAAAUAAGUGACCGAUCUCAGGGGACCCCCCCGCCGCUCUGAAGAAAUGGAAGCGCCCGCCGGGCGUCCCUGUGGUCCACGCGCAGCUCAGCCGAGUCCGGCCGGGGCUCCGCGCGGCGCGCCAGCUGCGGGCGGCGGGGUGCUGGGCUGCGGGGGUGGCUCUGACUCUCACCGGAGAUGUCAUGCUGCAUCUCAAUUCGUUCAUGUAGCCGAUUAGAAAUAAUAGCAGGACCUCCGCCGAUCGGGUGUUCUAUGUGCCCAGCCCUGUGCUGAGGACGUUUUCUGAAUUCAUCAUUUAACCCUCCCAAGCUAAGGCUGGCCAUCCCGUGGCAGGUGCUGUACGAUCGCCGCUUCACAGGUGAGGAGGCUGAAGAAAAGAGGUGGAGCAAGUGGCAGAGCCCGAGCCCUCUGGCUGCGACGCCUACGAUCUUACACGGCUGUCCUCUGCCUCCUCCCACGCAGCGCGAAACAGCCGAGAAGCAGCGAUGCAGGCGCCCAGGCCACCCACCAGCGUGACCUCUGCUUCGCCGCGCGCACCCGAGCUGGAACCGGGCUGGAGAGGCGAUGGCACGUAGCCCUCCAGUCGCUCGCUCAUCGCUGUCAUCACCAGAAAGAGAAGCUAGUCAAGGGCUGAGCACAAGGGGGAAUUCGUGAGACGCUCUUGAGGACGACUAUGCUACUCACAGGAAGAAAAUGGAGCCUCAGAGAGGUUACCUGCCUAGAUGAAGGGUCACACAGCCAGGAAGAAACAGAACGGAGACUGUAAUUGAGAUUGCCUCGAGCUCUUCACCAGUUCGUGACACUGUAUGAGGCCGGCAGUGAUAGAAACGUGCAAAUCUAUGCGCUCCACGUCCUCCACCCCCCACCCCGUGAUUUGGGCAACUGUGAAUAAAUGUGACAACUGAGCAAGGCCGGUGGAGUCUGAAUCCCAGGAACUUCUCACAUAGAUCUCCUAUUUGCUUGCUAGUAUUCUUGAAGGGGCUUGACAGAAUCCACCUAAUACAUACAGUUCUUCCAGAACACUCGUAUUUUGCUGUGCUUUUCUCUGAAGUUUUCCCUGCCCCUGGACUUCACCAUGGACUGCACCCACUCUACAGGGACUGUCAUGUGUUCAAAGCACAGUGAAUAGGAAUCUGACAAUAAAAUAGCCAAGCCAAGACCAUGAAGCAACAUCUAAGGACAGUUAAACAGAAAGACGGCGACCUGGGACCUGAUGGCAUCAGAGAGUCACUAUACCAACCCGGAACCCAUCUAACUUCAGAUUCCUUAUCUCCUGCAUGAAAGCUUGACCUUGACCUAGCUGCUUCUAAAACAACAAUUCUGAAUUCAAAUGAGUAGCAAUCAGAAGUUUUGCAAGAUCUGCAUUCUUUCACAUUAUUCUUCACACCAGUAAAAGAAAAUGGGGAUAUAACCGGAACUCUCUGGAACUUUCUUCAACUGAUAUAAGUGCCUCAUGUAAAUAGGGAGGUUUUAGCACCUUCUGGUCUUCUCCAUGCA
Molecule: long non-coding RNA, 2595 nt
Organism: Myotis myotis
Lineage: Eukaryota; Metazoa; Chordata; Mammalia; Chiroptera; Vespertilionidae
Exons: 6
Source: RefSeq, a predicted model, not a curated record